AACACAUGCAAGUCGAGGGGCAGCAUGGUGCCAGCUUGCUGGCGCUGAUGGCGACCGGCGCACGGGUGAGUAACGCGUAUCCGACCUACCUUCCGCCCGGGGAUAGCCUUCCGAAAGGGAGAUUAAGACCCGAUGGUGUCAGGGGGCUUCAUGGCAUCCUGACUAAAGGCGACGGCGGGAGCUGGGGAUGCGUCCCAUUAGGCAGUUGGCGGGGUAACGGCCCACCAAACCGACGAUGGGUAGGGGUUCUGAGAGGAAGGCCCCCCACAUUGGAACUGAGACACGGUCCAAACUCCUACGGGAGGCAGCAGUGAGGGAUAUUGGUCAAUGGCCGGAAGGCUGAACCAGCCAAGUAGCGUGGAGGAUGACUGCCCUACGGGUUGUAAACUCCUUUUAUGCGGGAAUAAAGUCGGGCACGUGUGCCCGUUUGCAUGUACCGCAUGAAUAAGCAUCGGCUAACUCCGUGCCAGCAGCCGCGGUAAUACGGAGGAUGCAGGCGUUAUCCGGAUUUAUUGGGUUUAAAGGGAGCGCAGACGGGCCUUUAAGUCAGCUGUAAAAUCGCGCGGCUCAACCGCGUGCAGCAGUUGAAACUGGAGGCCUUGAGUGCGGUCGCGGCAGGCGGAACUCGUGGUGUAGCGGUGAAAUGCAUAGAUAU
This 655-nucleotide ribosomal RNA is filed under the name uncultured Bacteroidota bacterium. RNAcentral's name for it is "bacterial SSU rRNA". It matches the Rfam family "Bacterial small subunit ribosomal RNA", at positions 50 to 697 of the family's 1533-position model. Lineage: Bacteria; Pseudomonadati; Bacteroidota. The record is from RNAcentral.